AAAACUGACAAUUCACUGAGGACGUUCACAUUCACUGUUGAUCUCUUCUCAUUUUGCUGAGCCUGCAGAAAGCUAUUUUUAGCUGUGAUGUAAAAACCGCUGUGUGCUUAAUUACCUGAAGCCUCAGCAGAUUAUCAGCUCCCUCACAGCUGGA
Salarias fasciatus (jewelled blenny) is the source of this 154-nucleotide long non-coding RNA. RefSeq lists it as uncharacterized. The transcript has 3 exons. The record is from RefSeq and is a predicted model, not a curated record. NCBI's taxonomy places the organism in Eukaryota, Metazoa, Chordata, Actinopteri, Blenniiformes, Blenniidae.